AUACUUGCUUCAGCAGUACAUAUCUACAAAUUGGAAUAUGCGGAGAAGAUUAGCAUUGCCUCUGAGCAAGGAUGACUUGCGCAUUCUUGACACUUUCAUGUUUUUA
RNAcentral lists this small nuclear RNA (106 nucleotides) under Chinchilla lanigera (long-tailed chinchilla). Lineage: Eukaryota; Metazoa; Chordata; Mammalia; Rodentia; Chinchillidae. The record is from RNAcentral.